RNAcentral lists this ribosomal RNA (155 nucleotides) under BTEX-degrading bacterium enrichment culture. Its description in RNAcentral is "partial 16S ribosomal RNA". It matches the Rfam family "Bacterial small subunit ribosomal RNA", at positions 347 to 519 of the family's 1533-position model. The record is from RNAcentral.
GGCAGCAGUGGGGAAUAUUGGACAAUGGGCGAAAGCCUGAUGCAGCGACGCCGCGUGAGGGAUGAAGGCCCUAGGGUUGUAAAGCUCUUUCAACGGUGAAGAUAAUGGCGGUAACCGUAGAAGAAGCCCCGGCUAACUUCGUGCCAGCAGCCGCG